CUACGGGUUGCAGCAGUGGGGAAUAUUGCACAAUGGAGGAAACUCUGAUGCGGCAACGCCGCGUGGAGGAUGACACUUUUCGGAGCGUAAACUCCUUUUAUAUAGGAAGAAGAUGACGGUACUAUAUGAAUAAGCGCCGGCUAACUCCGUGCCAGCAGCCGCGGUAAUACGGAGGGCGCAAGCGUUACUCGGAAUCACUGGGCGUAAAGAGCGUGUAGGCGGAUUAAAAAGUCAGAAGUGAAAUCCUAUAGCUUAACUAUAGAACUGCUUCUGAAACUCUUAAUCUAGAAUGUGGGAGAGGUAGAUGGAAUUUCUGGUGUAAGGGUAAAAUCCGUAGAGAUCAGAAGGAAUACCGAUUGCGAAGGCGAUCUACUAGAACAUUAUUGACGCUGAGACGCGAAAGCGUGGGGAGCAAACAGGAUUAGAUACCCUCGUAGUC
RNAcentral lists this ribosomal RNA (439 nucleotides) under uncultured bacterium. Its description in RNAcentral is "partial 16S ribosomal RNA". It matches the Rfam family "Bacterial small subunit ribosomal RNA", at positions 339 to 795 of the family's 1533-position model. The record is from RNAcentral.